GAUGAAGAACGUAGCGAAAUGCGAUAAGUAAUGUGAAUUGCAGAAUUCAGUGAAUCAUCGAAUCUUUGAACGCACCUUGCACCCUUUGGCAUUCCGAAGGGUAUGCUCGUUUGAGUGUCAUUGUACUCUCACACUCCCAAUUGCUUUGGAUUGGGAGCGGUGGACUUGGGUGUUGCUGCUUGACUGAGGCUCACCUGAAAUAUGUUAGUGCACCUCUUGAUUGGACAUAGUACGGCGUGAUAAGUGUCUUCGCCGGCUCCUCGCAAAGAGGGUGGCCGAUCGGGAGCUCUGUUGCUUCAAACUGUCUUCGGACAAUCUUCUGGCGACUUGACCUCAAAUCGAGUAGAACUACCCGCUGAACUUAAGCAUAUCAAUAAGCGGAGGA
Molecule: unclassified non-coding RNA, 385 nt
Filed under: soil metagenome
Description: partial contains 5.8S ribosomal RNA, internal transcribed spacer 2, and large subunit ribosomal RNA
Rfam family: 5.8S ribosomal RNA (bases 1-120)
Source: RNAcentral